UACGUAGGGUGCAAGCGUUAAUCGGAAUUACUGGGAGUAAAGCGUGCGCAGGCGGUUAUGUAAGACAGAUGUGAAAUCCCCGGGCUCAACCUGGGAACUGCAUUUGUGACUGCAUAGCUAGAGUACGGUAGAGGGGGAUGGAAUUCCGCGUGUAGCAGUGAAAUGCGUAGAUAUGCGGAGGAACACCGAUGGCGAAGGCAAUCCCCUGGACCUGUACUGACGCUCAUGCACGAAAGCGUGGGGAGCAAACAGG
This 253-nucleotide ribosomal RNA is filed under the name uncultured bacterium. RNAcentral describes it as "partial 16S ribosomal RNA". It matches the Rfam family "Bacterial small subunit ribosomal RNA", at positions 524 to 776 of the family's 1533-position model. The record is from RNAcentral.